UACGUAGGGGGCUAGCGUUGUCCGGAUUUAUUGGGCGUAAAGAGCGUGUAGGCGGCCAGGUAGGUCUGGUGUGAAAACUCGAGGCUUAACCUCGAGAUGUCAUCGGAAACCAUCUGGCUAGAGUCCGGAAGAGGAGAGUGGAAUUCCUGGUGUAGCGGUGAAAUGCGUAGAUAUCUGGAGGAAUACCGGUGGCGAAGGCGGCAUCCUGGACCAUUACUGACGCUGAGGCGCGAAAGCUAGGGGAGCAAACGGG
Molecule: ribosomal RNA, 253 nt
Filed under: uncultured bacterium
Lineage: Bacteria
Description: partial 16S ribosomal RNA
Rfam family: Bacterial small subunit ribosomal RNA
Source: RNAcentral